GAUGAACGCUAGCGGAGGCUUACACAUGCAAGUCGAGGGGCAGCAUAGGGUAGCAAUACUCUGAUGGCGACCGGCAAACGGGUGAGUAACGCGUAUGCAACCUACCCUGUACAGGGGGAUAACCCGGAGAAAUUCGGACUAAUAUCCCGUAAUAAUAUCCGGAGGCAUCUUUGGAUAUUUAAAGUUCCGACGGUACGGGAUGGGCAUGCGUAACAUUAACUGGUUGGUAAGGUAACGGCUUACCAAGGCUAUGAUGUUUAGGGGUCCUGAGAGGGUGGUCCCCCACACUGGUACUGAGACACGGACCAGACUCCUACGGGAGGCAGCAGUGAGGAAUAUUGGUCAAUGGGCGCAAGCCUGAACCAGCCAUCCCGCGUGCAGGAAGACGGCCCUAUGGGUUGUAAACUGCUUUUCCAGGGAGAGAAACUUACGCACGUGUUGCGUGACUGACGGUACCCUGGGAAUAAGCAUCGGCUAACUCCGUG
Molecule: ribosomal RNA, 485 nt
Filed under: uncultured bacterium
Lineage: Bacteria
Description: bacterial SSU rRNA
Rfam family: Bacterial small subunit ribosomal RNA
Source: RNAcentral